UUGUUCGGAUACGCUGGGCGUAAAGCGUGCGUAGGCCGUUUCGUAAGUCGUGUGUGAAAGGCAGGGGCUCAACCCCUGGAUUGCACAUGAUACUGCGAGACUAGAGUAAUGGAGGGGGAACCGGAAUUCUCGGUGUAGCAGUGAAAUGCGUAGAUAUCGAGAGGAACACUCGUGGCGAAGGCGGGUUCCUGGACAUUAACUGACGCUGAGGCACGAAGGCCAGGGGAGCGAAAGGGAUUAGAUACCCCUGUAGUCCUGGCAGUAAACGGUGCACGCUUGGUGUGCGGGGAAUCGACCCCCUGCGUGCCGGAGCUAACGCGUUAAGCGUGCCGCCUGGGGAGUACGGUCGCAAGAUUAAAACUCAAAGAAAUUGACGGGGACCCGCACAAGCGGUGGAGUAUGUGGCUUAAUUCGAUGCAACGCGAAGAA
This 429-nucleotide ribosomal RNA is filed under the name uncultured bacterium. RNAcentral's name for it is "bacterial SSU rRNA". It matches the Rfam family "Bacterial small subunit ribosomal RNA", at positions 541 to 968 of the family's 1533-position model. The record is from RNAcentral.